Trematomus bernacchii (emerald rockcod) is the source of this 130-nucleotide small nucleolar RNA. RefSeq annotates it as small nucleolar RNA SNORA63. The record is from RefSeq and is a predicted model, not a curated record. The transcript has a single exon. NCBI's taxonomy places the organism in Eukaryota, Metazoa, Chordata, Actinopteri, Perciformes, Nototheniidae.
UAGCAGGAUAAGUUACAAUGCAGCUUGUUUGGUACUGCUUUGUCGUUCCCCCUGCACACAAUAAACUGUUUCCUCGCUAUACCUGUCAGUUAGCAUCACUCGACUGCCAGGCACGAAAGGUUUCAGACAU